RNAcentral lists this ribosomal RNA (449 nucleotides) under uncultured bacterium. RNAcentral's name for it is "partial 16S ribosomal RNA". It matches the Rfam family "Bacterial small subunit ribosomal RNA", at positions 29 to 523 of the family's 1533-position model. The record is from RNAcentral.
AGCGAACGCUGGCGGCAGGCCUAACACAUGCAAGUCGAGCGCCGUAGCAAUACGGAGCGGCAGACGGGAGAGUAACACGUGGGAACGUACCCUUUGGUUCGGAACAACCCAGGGAAACUUGGGCUAAUACCGGAUAAGCCCUCCGGGGGAAAGAUUCAUCGCCGAAGGAUCGGCCCGCGUCUGAUUAGCUAGUUGGUGGGGUAAUGGCCCACCAAGGCGACGAUCAGUAGCUGGUCUGAGAGGAUGAUCAGCCUCACUGGGACUGUGACACGGCCCAGACUCCUACGGGAGGCAGCAGUGGGGAAUAUUGGACAAUGGGCGCAAGCCUGAUCCAGCCAUGCCGCGUGGGUGAUGAAGGCCCUAGGGUUGUACAGCCCUUUCGGCGGGGAAGAUAAUGACGGUACCCGCAGAAGAAGCCCCGGCUAACUUCGUGCCAGCCGCCGCGGUAA